Molecule: ribosomal RNA, 490 nt
Filed under: uncultured bacterium
Lineage: Bacteria
Description: partial 16S ribosomal RNA
Rfam family: Bacterial small subunit ribosomal RNA
Source: RNAcentral
GUGAACGCUGGCGGUAGGCCUAACCCAUGCAAGUCGAACGGCAGCACAGUAGAGCUUGCUCUUACGGGUGGCGAGUGGCGGACGGGUGAGGAAUACAUCGGAAUCUACUUUUUCGUGGGGGAUAACGUAGGGAAACUUACGCUAAUACCGCAUACGACCUACGGGUGAAAGCAGGGGAUCUUCGGACCUUGCGCGAUUGAAUGAGCCGAUGUCGGAUUAGCUAGUUGGCGGGGUAAAGGCCCACCAAGGCGACGAUCCGUAGCUGGUCUGAGAGGAUGAUCAGCCACACUGGAACUGAGACACGGUCCAGACUCCUACGGGAGGCAGCAGUGGGGAAUAUUGGACAAUGGGCGCAAGCCUGAUCCAGCCAUACCGCGUGGGUGAAGAAGGCCUUCGGGUUGUAAAGCCCUUUUGUUGGGAAAGAAAAGCAGCAGGUUAAUACCCCGCUGUUCUGACGGUACCCAAAGAAUAAGCACCGGCUAACUUCGUG